UACGUAGGGGGCAAGCGUUGUCCGGAAUCAUUGGGCGUAAAGAGCGUGUAGGCGGCCCGAUAAGUCCGCUGUGAAAGUCCAGGGCUCAACCCUGGGAUGCCGGUGGAUACUGUCGGGCUCGAGUCCGGAAGAGGAGUGUGGAAUUCCUGGUGUAGCGGUGAAAUGCGCAGAUAUCAGGAGGAACACCAAUGGCGAAGGCAGCACUCUGGGACGUGACUGACGCUUAGACGCGAAAGCGUGGGGAGCAAACAGG
RNAcentral lists this ribosomal RNA (253 nucleotides) under uncultured bacterium. RNAcentral describes it as "partial 16S ribosomal RNA". It matches the Rfam family "Bacterial small subunit ribosomal RNA", at positions 524 to 776 of the family's 1533-position model. The record is from RNAcentral.